GUAGUCUCGCACAGAUGCAUAUCAAUAAGCGGAGGAAAAGAAACUAACUAGGAUUCCCUCAGUAACGGCGAGUGAAGCGGGAAGAGCUCAAAUUUGAAAUCUUCAAGGUUCUACCUUGACGAAUCGUAGUUUAAAGAAGUGUUUUCUGUUGGAGUUUUGGUAAAAGUUCUUUGGAAUAGGACAUCAUAGAGGGUGAGAAUCCCGUAUUUGACCAUUAUUUCCAGCUUUGUGAUACACUUUCAAAGAGUCGGAUUGUUUGGGAAUGCAGUCCAAAAUGGGUGGUAAAUUUCAUCUAAAGCUAAAUACUGGCGAGAGACCGAUAGCGAACAAGUACCGUGAGGGAAAGAUGAAAAGAACUUUGAAAAGAGAGUUAAACAGUACGUGAAAUUGUCAAAAGGGAAGCGUUUGACACCAGUGUUGUUUUCUCGAAAAUCAAUUAAAAGAACGGAUUUAUGCUAGCUGUAUUAGACUUUAUCAGCUAUCUGCACUCCUUUCUUGUCUUUUUUUAAUGCACUUUUCGUUUAACAAGUCAACAUCAAUUUCUUUUGUUGUAAAAGGGUCAUUGGAAGGUGGCUUUCUUUUCGGAGAAAGUGUUUAUAGCCUUUGGCCUCUGCAAUCGGAGAGAUUGAGGUCUGCAGCGUAGAUCCUUCGGGGUUAGAUACAUUUGUGCUAAGUUAUAGCCUUUCAUAGACAACUUGUUGACUAUGAUCAGUCAUGUAGCUUACUCGCUUAUGCUAUUUUACCUACGCUAGGAUGUUGAAGUCAUCGUAUCGCGC
This 776-nucleotide ribosomal RNA is filed under the name uncultured Neocallimastigales. Its description in RNAcentral is "partial large subunit ribosomal RNA". It matches the Rfam family "Eukaryotic large subunit ribosomal RNA", at positions 24 to 645 of the family's 3401-position model. The record is from RNAcentral. Lineage: Eukaryota; Fungi; Neocallimastigomycota; Neocallimastigomycetes; Neocallimastigales.